RNAcentral lists this transfer RNA (74 nucleotides) under Verrucomicrobiota bacterium. Its description in RNAcentral is "Verrucomicrobia bacterium tRNA-Gln". It matches the Rfam family "tRNA". From Rfam's summary of the family: Transfer RNA (tRNA) molecules are approximately 80 nucleotides in length. The record is from RNAcentral. Lineage: Bacteria; Pseudomonadati; Verrucomicrobiota.
UGCCGAAUGGUGUAAUGGUAGCACAGCACACUCUGAAUGUGCUUGUCAUGGUUCGAAUCCAUGUUCGGCAACCA